GACGAACGCUGGCGGCGUGCUUAACACAUGCAAGUCGAACGGAAAGGCUCCAGCUUGCUGGCGUACUCGAGUGGCGAACGGGUGAGUAACACGUGGGUAAUCUGCCCUGCACUCUGGGAUAAGCCUGGGAAACUGGGUCUAAUACUGGAUAUGACCUUUCUCCUUAUGGGGUUUGGUGGAAAGUUUUUCGGUGUAGGAUGAGCCCGCGGCCUAUCAGCUUGUUGGUGGGGUGAUGGCCUACCAAGGCGACGACGGGUAGCCGGCCUGAGAGGGUGAUCGGCCACAUUGGGACUGAGAUACGGCCCAGACUCCUACGGGAGGCAGCAGUGGGGAAUAUUGCACAAUGGGCGGAAGCCUGAUGCAGCGACGCCGCGUGAGGGAUGACGGCCUUCGGGUUGUAAACCUCUUUUAGCAGGGACGAAGCGUAAGUGACGGUACCUGCAGAAGAAGCACCGGCUAACUAUGUG
Molecule: ribosomal RNA, 467 nt
Filed under: uncultured bacterium
Lineage: Bacteria
Description: partial 16S ribosomal RNA
Rfam family: Bacterial small subunit ribosomal RNA
Source: RNAcentral